AAGCUCGUAGUUGAAUUUCGAGAUCGGCUUACUGGUCAUGCUAUUGUACGUACUGGUAUAAUCGGUUUCUCCUUUUUGACGAACUAUAAUGCCAUUAAUUUGGUAUUUUAGGGAAUCAGGACUGUUACUUUGAAAAAUUAGAGUGUUUAAAGCAGGCUUACGCUUGAAUACAUUAGCAUGGAAUAAUGGAAUAGGACGUUUGAUUCUAUUUUGUUUGUUUUUAGGAUCGAUGUAAUGAUUAAUAGGGAUAGUUGGG
RNAcentral lists this ribosomal RNA (256 nucleotides) under uncultured Glomus. RNAcentral's name for it is "partial 18S ribosomal RNA". It matches the Rfam family "Eukaryotic small subunit ribosomal RNA", at positions 624 to 886 of the family's 1831-position model. The record is from RNAcentral. Lineage: Eukaryota; Fungi; Glomeromycota; Glomeromycetes; Glomerales; Glomeraceae.